Non-coding RNA from Jackrogersella minutella, 88 nucleotides. NCBI's taxonomy places the organism in Eukaryota, Fungi, Ascomycota, Sordariomycetes, Xylariales, Hypoxylaceae. The record is from the annotation of a GenBank genome assembly.
ACCUGUGUGGAGUAGUGGUUAACUCACCGGACUCCGACACUCUAUAGUCAGUAAGCCGGGUACCCGGGUUCGAAUCCCGGCGCAGGUG